GAUGAACGCUGGCGGCGUGCCUAAUACAUGCAAGUCGAGCGAACACACGAUGAGCUUUCUCCUCUAACGUUAGCGGCGGACGGGUGAGUAACACGUGGAUAACCUACCUAUAAUACUGGGGUAACUUCGGGAAACCGGAGCUAAUACCACAUCAUAUAUUGAACGGCAUGGUUCAAUAGUGAUAGACGCCUUUGCUGUCUCUUUGAGAUGGAUCCGUGUCGCAUUAGCUAGUUGGUAAGGUAACGGCCUACCAAGGCAACGAUGCGUAGCUGACCUGAGAGGAUGAUCAGCCACACUGGAACUGAGACACGGUCCAGACUCCUACGGGAGGCAGCAGUAGGGAAUCUUCCGCAAUGGGCGCAAGCCUGACGGAGCAACGCCGCGUGAGUGAUGAAGGUCUUCGGAUCGUAAAACUCUGUUAUUAGGGAAGAACAAAUGUGUAAGUAACUAUGCACGUCUUGACGGUACCUAAUCAGAAAGCCACGGCUAACUACGUG
RNAcentral lists this ribosomal RNA (497 nucleotides) under uncultured bacterium. Its description in RNAcentral is "partial 16S ribosomal RNA". It matches the Rfam family "Bacterial small subunit ribosomal RNA", at positions 28 to 507 of the family's 1533-position model. The record is from RNAcentral.